RNAcentral lists this ribosomal RNA (1401 nucleotides) under Curtobacterium flaccumfaciens. RNAcentral's name for it is "bacterial SSU rRNA". It matches the Rfam family "Bacterial small subunit ribosomal RNA". Lineage: Bacteria; Bacillati; Actinomycetota; Actinomycetes; Micrococcales; Microbacteriaceae. The record is from RNAcentral.
CCAAGUGCGGCUGCUUACACAUGCAAGUCGAACGAUGAUGCCCAGCUUGCUGGGUGGAUUAGUGGCGAACGGGUGAGUAACACGUGAGUAACCUGCCCCUGACUCUGGGAUAAGCGUUGGAAACGACGUCUAAUACUGGAUAUGAUCACUGGCCGCAUGGUCUGGUGGUGGAAAGAUUUUUCGGUUGGGGAUGGACUCGCGGCCUAUCAGCUUGUUGGUGAGGUAAUGGCUCACCAAGGCGACGACGGGUAGCCGGCCUGAGAGGGUGACCGGCCACACUGGGACUGAGACACGGCCCAGACUCCUACGGGAGGCAGCAGUGGGGAAUAUUGCACAAUGGGCGAAAGCCUGAUGCAGCAACGCCGCGUGAGGGAUGACGGCCUUCGGGUUGUAAACCUCUUUUAGUAGGGAAGAAGCGAAAGUGACGGUACCUGCAGAAAAAGCACCGGCUAACUACGUGCCAGCAGCCGCGGUAAUACGUAGGGUGCAAGCGUUGUCCGGAAUUAUUGGGCGUAAAGAGCUCGUAGGCGGUUUGUCGCGUCUGCUGUGAAAUCCCGAGGCUCAACCUCGGGCUUGCAGUGGGUACGGGCAGACUAGAGUGCGGUAGGGGAGAUUGGAAUUCCUGGUGUAGCGGUGGAAUGCGCAGAUAUCAGGAGGAACACCGAUGGCGAAGGCAGAUCUCUGGGCCGUAACUGACGCUGAGGAGCGAAAGCAUGGGGAGCGAACAGGAUUAGAUACCCUGGUAGUCCAUGCCGUAAACGUUGGGCGCUAGAUGUAGGGACCUUUCCACGGUUUCUGUGUCGUAGCUAACGCAUUAAGCGCCCCGCCUGGAGAGUACGGCCGCAAGGCUAAAACUCAAAGGAAUUGACGGGGGCCCGCACAAGCGGCGGAGCAUGCGGAUUAAUUCGAUGCAACGCGAAGAACCUUACCAAGGCUUGACAUACACCGGAAACGGCCAGAGAUGGUCGCCCCCUUGUGGUCGGUGUACAGGUGGUGCAUGGUUGUCGUCAGCUCGUGUCGUGAGAUGUUGGGUUAAGUCCCGCAACGAGCGCAACCCUCGUUCUAUGUUGCCAGCGGGUUAUGCCGGGGACUCAUAGGAGACUGCCGGGGUCAACUCGGAGGAAGGUGGGGAUGACGUCAAAUCAUCAUGCCCCUUAUGUCUUGGGCUUCACGCAUGCUACAAUGGCCGGUACAAAGGGCUGCGAUACCGUAAGGUGGAGCGAAUCCCAAAAAGCCGGUCUCAGUUCGGAUUGAGGUCUGCAACUCGACCUCAUGAAGUCGGAGUCGCUAGUAAUCGCAGAUCAGCAACGCUGCGGUGAAUACGUUCCCGGGCCUUGUACACACCGCCCGUCAAGUCAUGAAAGUCGGUAACACCCGAAGCCGGUGGCCUAACCCUUGUGG